GUAGGCCGCAAGGUGAACCACGAAAAGUCCUUUAGAAAUCGAAUCCCGCUCCACAGGCGUGCAUCUACACAAUAUUUAGUUCAUAAAAAAGAAAGAGUCGUGCUUAGUCAAUUUUUGGUGCGUCUAUGUUUUAUGCCGAACUAGUUUCUUCAGAGCGCACAAGGAUCUUGGUCGCGAGUGCUGGCACUUUUCGACACGUGAUCAUGCUACACCAAUAAGGUAGCUGCUUUUUGUCAAUAGAAUGGCAAGAUGGCGUCCACCAUGCCUUCAUCGAGCAGUACGGAAGACGAAGAAAAUACACCGGAAUGUCUUAAUAAAUCAAAAAACAAACAUUGUUUUAUGCAUAUUACUUCAGUCAAGCACGAAGAGGUACAUUAUUUCACCACUACACGAUGGAAUACAUACAGGACAAGCCUACAAACGUGGCUCGGCUCUGGAGGUGCAGUACCACAAAGGCUGUUAUAAUCAGUACACCAGGUUUUUGACGAGGCCUGAAAAACCAGAGAAAGAACAGAAUGAGCCCACGUUUGAUGUCAGCUAUAAGUUAUUCUGUGAGAGGAUCAUUCGCCAAAGGCUGCUUGUCAACCAAGAGGUGCAGAGAAUGGGCCAGCUGAGGAAGGCCUUCAUUGAACUGGUGAAAGCAAAUGAAGGUCUUGAAGCUUCAAACUACAGACAGGAUAUGUUGAAGAAGAGGCUGACUCGUGAUUUCCCCCAUCAGUAUCAAAAACCUAGAACGGUCAUGUAUAGAGCUGAUGCAGGGUCACAACGCAUGCAAAUCUUUGGCCC
Molecule: long non-coding RNA, 786 nt
Organism: Clupea harengus (Atlantic herring)
Lineage: Eukaryota; Metazoa; Chordata; Actinopteri; Clupeiformes; Clupeidae
Source: Ensembl